Molecule: ribosomal RNA, 764 nt
Filed under: Setophaeosphaeria sidae
Lineage: Eukaryota; Fungi; Ascomycota; Dothideomycetes; Pleosporales; Phaeosphaeriaceae
Description: LSU rRNA
Rfam family: Eukaryotic large subunit ribosomal RNA
Source: RNAcentral
CCUAGUAACGGCGAGUGAAGCGGCAUCAGCUCAAAUUUGAAAUCUGGCUCUUUCAGGGUCCGAGUUGUAAUUUGCAGAGGGCGCUUUGGCGUUGGCAGCGGUCCAAGUUCCUUGGAACAGGACGUCACAGAGGGUGAGAAUCCCGUACGUGGUCGCUGGCCUUCACCGUGUAAAGCCCCUUCGACGAGUCGAGUUGUUUGGGAAUGCAGCUCUAAAUGGGAGGUAAAUUUCUUCUAAAGCUAAAUACUGGCCAGAGACCGAUAGCGCACAAGUAGAGUGAUCGAAAGAUGAAAAGCACUUUGGAAAGAGAGUCAAAUAGCACGUGAAAUUGUUGAAAGGGAAGCGCUUGCAGCCAGACUUGCCUGUAGUUGCUCAUCCGGGUUCUUACCCGGUGCAUUCUUCUGUAGGCAGGCCAGCAUCAGUUUGGGCGGUUGGAUAAAGGUCUCUGUCACGUACCUCCUCUCGGGGGAGGCCUUAUAGGGGAGACGACAUGCAACCAGCCUGGACUGAGGUCCGCGCAUCUGCUAGGAUGCUGGCGUAAUGGCUGUAAGCGGCCCGUCUUGAAACACGGACCAAGGAGUCUAACAUCUAUGCGAGUGUUUGGGUGUCAAGCCCGAGCGCGUAAUGAAAGUGAACGGAGGUGGGAUCCCUUAAGGGUGCACCAUCGACCGAUCCUGAUGUCUUCGGAUGGAUUUGAGUAAGAGCAUGGCUGUUGGGACCCGAAAGAUGGUGAACUAUGCUUGAAUAGGGUGAAGCCAGAGGAA